GACGAACGCUGGCGGCGUGCUUAACACAUGCAAGUCGAACGGAAAGGCCCUGCUUUUGUGGGGUGCUCGAGUGGCGAACGGGUGAGUAACACGUGAGUAACCUGCCCUUGACUUUGGGAUAACUUCAGGAAACUGGGGCUAAUACCAGAUAGGAGCUCCUGCUGCAUGGUGGGGGUUGGAAAGUUUCGGCGGUUGGGGAUGGACUCGCGGCUUAUCAGCUUGUUGGUGGGGUAGUGGCUUACCAAGGCUUUGACGGGUAGCCGGCCUGAGAGGGUGACCGGCCACAUUGGGACUGAGAUACGGCCCAGACUCCUACGGGAGGCAGCAGUGGGGAAUAUUGCACAAUGGGCGGAAGCCUGAUGCAGCAACGCCGCGUGCGGGAUGACGGCCUUCGGGUUGUAAACCGCUUUCGCCUGUGACGAAGCGUGAGUGACGGUAAUGGGUAAAGAAGCACCGGCUAACUACGUGCCAGCAGCCGCGGUGAUACGUAGGGUGCGAGCGUUGUCCGGAUUUAUUGGGCGUAAAGGGCUCGUAGGUGGUUGAUCGCGUCGGAAGUGUAAUCUUGGGGCUUAACCCUGAGCGUGCUUUCGAUACGGGUUGACUUGAGGAAGGUAGGGGAGAAUGGAAUUCCUGGUGGAGCGGUGGAAUGCGCAGAUAUCAGGAGGAACACCAGUGGCGAAGGCGGUUCUCUGGGCCUUUCCUGACGCUGAGGAGCGAAAGCGUGGGGAGCGAACAGGCUUAGAUACCCUGGUAGUCCACGCUGUAAACGGUGGGUACUAGGUGUGGGGUCCAUUCCACGGGUUCCGUGCCGUAGCUAACGCUUUAAGUACCCCGCCUGGGGAGUACGGCCGCAAGGCUAAAACUCAAAGGAAUUGACGGGGCCCCGCACAAGCGGCGGAGCAUGCGGAUUAAUUCGAUGCAACGCGUAGAACCUUACCUGGGUUUGACAUGGAUCGGGAGCGCUCAGAGAUGGGUGUGCCUCUUUUGGGGUCGGUUCACAGGUGGUGCAUGGCUGUCGUCAGCUCGUGUCGUGAGAUGUUGGGUUAAGUCCCGCAACGAGCGCAACCCUUGUUCACUGUUGCCAGCACGUUAUGGUGGGGACUCAGUGGAGACCGCCGGGGUCAACUCGGAGGAAGGUGGGGAUGACGUCAAGUCAUCAUGCCCCUUAUGUCCAGGGCUUCACGCAUGCUACAAUGGCUGGUACAGAGAGUGGCGAGCCUGUGAGGGUGAGCGAAUCUCGGAAAGCCGGUCUCAGUUCGGAUUGGGGUCUGCAACUCGACCUCAUGAAGUCGGAGUCGCUAGUAAUCGCAGAUCAGCAACGCUGCGGUGAAUACGUUCCCGGGGCU
Molecule: ribosomal RNA, 1346 nt
Filed under: uncultured bacterium
Lineage: Bacteria
Description: bacterial SSU rRNA
Rfam family: Bacterial small subunit ribosomal RNA
Source: RNAcentral